This 942-nucleotide ribosomal RNA is filed under the name Moraxella catarrhalis. RNAcentral's name for it is "bacterial LSU rRNA". It matches the Rfam family "Bacterial large subunit ribosomal RNA", at positions 1222 to 2157 of the family's 2925-position model. Lineage: Bacteria; Pseudomonadati; Pseudomonadota; Gammaproteobacteria; Moraxellales; Moraxellaceae. The record is from RNAcentral.
UCAGGGGUAGGGGAGCGUUGUAUGUAGGUUGAAGGUGUACCGUAAGGAGCGCUGGACAGCAUACAAGUGAGAAUGCCGGUAUGAGUAACGAAAAGAUCAGUGAGAAUCUGAUCCGCCGAAAGCCCAAGGUUUCCUGAGGAAGGCUCGUCCGCUCAGGGUAAGUCGGGACCUAAGGUGAGGCCGAAAGGCGUAAUCGAAGGACAACAGGUUGAAAUUCCUGUACCACCGUAAACCGUUAUGAACGAUGGGGUGACGCAGGAGGGUAGUGACGCGGACUGAUGGAUGUCCGUCCAAGCAGUGAGGCUGAUGUGUAGGCAAAUCCGCACAUCGAUAAGGCUGGGCUGUGAUGGGGAGUGAAAAUUACAGUAGCGAAGGUCAUGAUCUCACACUGCCAAGAAAAGCCUCUAGUCAGGUGAAGGUGCCCGUACCGCAAACCGACACAGGUAGGCGAGAAGAGAAUUCUAAGGCGCGCGGAAGAACUCUCGUUAAGGAACUCGGCAAAAUGACCCCGUAACUUCGGGAGAAGGGGUGCCUCGGUAGGGUGAAUAGCCCGAGGGGGCCGCAGUGAAAAGGCCCAAGCGACUGUUUAGCAAAAACACAGGUCUGUGCGAAGCCGUAAGGCGAAGUAUACGGGCUGACGCCUGCCCGGUGCUGGAAGGUUAAGGGGAGCGGUUAGGAGCAAUCCGAAGCUGUGAACCGAAGCCCCAGUAAACGGCGGCCGUAACUAUAACGGUCCUAAGGUAGCGAAAUUCCUUGUCAGGUAAAUUCUGACCCGCACGAAUGGCGUAACGACUUGGGCGCUGUCUCAACGAGAGAUCCGGUGAAAUUUUAAUACCUGUGAAGAUGCAGGUUACCCGCGACAAGACGGAAAGACCCCAUGGAGCUUUACUGCAGCUUGAUAUUGGAUUUGGGUACGAUCUGUACAGGAUAGGUGGGAGCCUU